This 800-nucleotide ribosomal RNA is filed under the name uncultured bacterium. RNAcentral's name for it is "bacterial SSU rRNA". It matches the Rfam family "Bacterial small subunit ribosomal RNA", at positions 94 to 929 of the family's 1533-position model. RNAcentral also lists the same sequence under 1 other name. The record is from RNAcentral.
GAGUGUGCACAGGUGAGUAACACGUGCGAACGUACCCUUUGGUGCUGAACCCACCUGGAAACGGCUGCUACCCCGCAAGCGCCCUACGGGGGAAAGAUUUAUCGGCGACCGAUUGGCCCGCGUCUGAUUAACUUUUUGGUGGGGUAAUGGGUCAUGCGUGCCACUAUCUAUAGCUGGUCUGAAAGGAUGAUCAACCACACUGGGACUGAGACAACUGCCAGACUCCUCCCGGAGGCUGCUACGGGGAAUAUUGCACAAUGGGCGCAGGCCUGAUCCAUCCAUGCCAUUGGAGUGAGGACGGCCCUCUGGUUGUGAAGCUCUUUCUGAAAGGAGGAUAAUGACGUUACUUGUAAACUUAAGCCCCGGCUAACUUCAUGCCAGCACCCGCACUGUUUUGAAUGGGGCUAACGAUGUUCGAAAUCACUGGUCCUAAAGCGCACGUACGCGGACUUUUAGGAUCCGGGUGAAAUCCCGGGGCUCAACCUCGGAACUGCCUUUGAUACUGGGAUUCUGGAGUCGGGGAGAUGUGAGUGGAACUCUGAGUGUAUACGUGCAAUACUGAUAUAUUCGAAAGAACAUGAAUGGCGAAGGCUGCUCACUGGCCCGGUACUGACCCUGAAGUGCGAAAGCAUGACGAGCAGCGCAGAUUAGAUACCCUGCUAUUCCUGACCCUCACGCAUGGAAGCUAGCGGAGCGAUGCAUGCAUCAUACCCUGCGCAGUCCACGCAUUAAGCUUCAUUGCUGGGGAGUACGCGUCGCAAGAUUAAAACUCUGAGGAAUUGACUUGAGGCACGCACCAU